AUGGGAACAUGCCCCCCUCUCUGGACCGCCCGAUCGAGUCUUUGUAAAGAUGCUACGAUGUACAGUGAUGAUGUUAUGCUUAGAAACAAAAUCAUAGAUGUAAUGGAACUAUGGAAGAGUCUUUGUAAGAUGAUUGUGUCAAAUUUGAUUUAUAAUCUCCCUAAAAAAUUACAAUGGUGGCAUCAAUUGUUCGCUGAUUCUGAAAUGCCAGCUGCUACAAAUCUACAACCUGACAAUCCCAAAGAAAACAUAAAUAACAAUAUUAUAUGUAACUCCCCUCAUUCUGAGUUUCAGAAUAUGCCACUCCAUGUGUCACUGAAAUGUGGGCAUGGGCCCUGCAUGUCAGUGAUCUUGAAGGGGUCACAUCAUGAAAUGCAACUUAAGAGGAGUGACAUAAAAAAUCAUUCAAACUAA
RNAcentral lists this ribosomal RNA (414 nucleotides) under Triticum aestivum (bread wheat). RNAcentral describes it as "partial small subunit ribosomal RNA". The record is from RNAcentral. Lineage: Eukaryota; Viridiplantae; Streptophyta; Magnoliopsida; Poales; Poaceae.